GCUACGGCCAUAUCAGCCUGGGUACGCCCGAUCUCGUCUGAUCUCGGAAGCUAAGCAUGGUCGGGCCUGGUUAGUACUUGGAUGGGAGACCGCCUGGGAAUACCAGGUGCUGUAAGCA
Molecule: ribosomal RNA, 118 nt
Filed under: Salmo salar (Atlantic salmon)
Lineage: Eukaryota; Metazoa; Chordata; Actinopteri; Salmoniformes; Salmonidae
Source: RNAcentral